RNAcentral lists this ribosomal RNA (458 nucleotides) under uncultured bacterium. RNAcentral describes it as "bacterial SSU rRNA". It matches the Rfam family "Bacterial small subunit ribosomal RNA", at positions 29 to 506 of the family's 1533-position model. The record is from RNAcentral.
AUAAACGCUGGCGGCGUGCCUUAUGCAUGCAAGUCGUACGAGAUCAGAACUUCGGUUCGAAGUCUAGUGGCGGACGGGUGAGUAACACGUACGUGACCUGUCCAGGAGUGGGGAAUAACCAGCCGACAGGUUGGCUAAUACCGCAUGUGGUCACCCCUUGGAAGGGGAUGACGAAAGCCGAAAGGCGCUUCUGGAGGGGCGUGCGGCCGAUUAGCUAGUUGGUGUGGUAACGGCGCACCAAGGCGAUGAUCGGUAGCUGGUCUGAGAGGAUGGUCAGCCACACUGGGACUGAGACACGGCCCAGACUCCUACGGGAGGCAGCAGCAGGGAAUUUUGGGCAAUGGGCGAAAGCCUGACCCAGCAACGCCGCGUGGGGGAUGAAGGCUCUCGGGUCGUAAACCCCUUUUGCCGGGGAAGAUAAUGACGGUACCCGGCGAAUAAGCCACGGCUAACUACGU